This 330-nucleotide ribosomal RNA is filed under the name uncultured eukaryote. Its description in RNAcentral is "partial 18S ribosomal RNA". It matches the Rfam family "Eukaryotic small subunit ribosomal RNA", at positions 1470 to 1796 of the family's 1831-position model. The record is from RNAcentral.
CCCUUAGAUGUUCUGGGCCGCACACGCGCUACACUGACGGAGGCAGCGAGCAUGUCCUUCGCCGAGAGGUGUGGGGAAUCUUGUGAGUCUCCGUCGUGCUGGGGAUAGAUGGUUGCAAUUGUCGAUCUUGAACGAGGAAUUCCUAGUAAGCGCGAGUCAUCAGCUCGCGCUGAUUACGUCCCUGCCCUUUGUACACACCGCCCGUCGCUACUACCGAUUGGAUGGUUUAGCGAGAGCCUUGGAUUGGAGCCCAGGUGGUCGGCAACGGCCGCUCGGGAUUCCGAGAAAUUGUUCCAGCUGACUCAUCUAGAGGAAGUAAAAGUCGUAACA